CCUGGCUCAGGAUGAACGCUGGCGGCGUGCUAACACAUGCAAGUACGACGGAAGUUAACAUUUUAUAGCAAAUAGCUUGCUAGGAGUGGAGAAGGUGGUUAACUUAGUGGCGGACGGGUGAGUAACGCGUGGGUAACCUGCCGUAUGCAGGGGGAGUAACAACUUAGAAAUAGGUAGCUAACACCGCAUAAGCGCACGAGAGCGCAUGCUUUUGUGUGAAAAACUCCGGUGGCAUACGAUGGACCCGCGUCUGAUUAGCCAGUUGGCAGGGUAACGGCCUACCAAAGCGACGAUCAGUAGCCGGCCUGAGAGGGCGGACGGGCCACAUUGGGACUGAGACACGGCCCAAACUCCUACGGGAGGCAGCAGUGGGGGAUAUUGCACAAUGGGGGAAACCCUGAUGCAGCGACGCCGCGUGAGUGAAGAAGUAUUUCGGUAUGUAAAGCUCUAUCAGCAGGGAAGAAGAUGACAGUACCUGAGUAAGAAGCCCCGGCUAACUACGUG
RNAcentral lists this ribosomal RNA (504 nucleotides) under uncultured Lachnospiraceae bacterium. Its description in RNAcentral is "bacterial SSU rRNA". It matches the Rfam family "Bacterial small subunit ribosomal RNA", at positions 18 to 507 of the family's 1533-position model. The record is from RNAcentral. Lineage: Bacteria; Bacillati; Bacillota; Clostridia; Lachnospirales; Lachnospiraceae.